UACGGAGGGGGCUAGCGUUGUUCGGAAUUACUGGGCGUAAAGCGCACGUAGGCGGAUUGGAAAGUUGGGGGUGAAAUCCCGGGGCUCAACCCCGGAACUGCCUUCAAAACUCCCAGUCUGGAGGUCGAGAGAGGUGAGUGGAAUUCCGAGUGUAGAGGUGAAAUUCGUAGAUAUUCGGAGGAACACCAGUGGCGAAGGCGGCUCACUGGCUCGAUACUGACGCUGAGGUGCGAAAGCGUGGGGAGCAAACAGG
This 253-nucleotide ribosomal RNA is filed under the name uncultured bacterium. RNAcentral describes it as "partial 16S ribosomal RNA". It matches the Rfam family "Bacterial small subunit ribosomal RNA", at positions 524 to 776 of the family's 1533-position model. The record is from RNAcentral. RNAcentral also lists the same sequence under 1 other name.